Molecule: ribosomal RNA, 253 nt
Filed under: uncultured bacterium
Lineage: Bacteria
Description: partial 16S ribosomal RNA
Rfam family: Bacterial small subunit ribosomal RNA
Source: RNAcentral
UACGUAGGGGGCAAGCGUUGUCCGGAUUUAUUGGGCGUAAAGAGCGUGUAGGCGGCUUGGUAGGUCCGCUGUGAAAACUCGAGGCUCAACCUCGAGAUGUCGGCGGAAACCGCUUGGCUAGAGUCCGGAAGAGGAGAGUGGAAUUCCCGGUGUAGCGGUGAAAUGCGCAGAUAUCGGGAAGAACACCUAUGGCGAAGGCAGCUCUCUGGGACGGUACUGACGCUGAGACGCGAAAGCGUGGGGAGCGAACAGG